CGUAGGGGGUCAAGUGAAGGCGGAUUCGUCCCACCACUGGUCCUUCUUUGAAACUUGGCCCAUAAGUUUGCGGGAAAGACAAGAUCAUUGCACCUACUUCUCUCAUUCUUGACCAUUGAAACCCGCUUUACUUCGAGUCAAAGGCGAUGAAUCCACUUUCUUUUUAGGAUUGCUCAUUGUUGUUUCACUUAAUGCCCCUCUCAAUCGCCCUUAGGUUUUGUCUUCCAAUUCGUACUCUAUGAAAGAGAAUGGCAUACUGUCGAAGGUUAGAAUAUACUCGAGUGAAAGGAGAGGGAGAAGGGAGAACUCGAUAACAAAGCUAAGAAUAAAGGAAAAGGACCAAGCUACGAAGUCCGGUGAAUCACGAGAGGGGAUGCUUCUGAAAGUGCUGUUGUGAAGUUCGGUGAAUCACGAGAGGGGAUGCUUCUGAAAGUGUUGUUGGUGAGGCCAUUUGAAUUAGAUUAAUCAACCCCCUAGCGAAAACAAGGAGAUUAAUUAGGCCCAGAUACAGGUGUUUCGGUCACAAGGGCUUCACGUUGAACGAGGUGGGUGCAAAGCAAAGGGAACUAGCACAAAUAGACGUGACUAAUGCAAUAAGUAGACAAAUAGCCUCUCGUGUAGAUGGUGGGGCGUGGUUUCGGGUUCAGUGAACUUAAUUCUAUAGUAUACUGGCCAGUCUGGUGGUAGCAUCGGAUUACGGGUCACUAGUUUUUUGCAGCGGUUAGUAGACUUUCGGUGAAGCUGCUCCCACGCAGUCGCUGUUAACAGAGAUCUUGCAUAUGAGAUGUUAAUCCCAACCUAUUUAAAUUAAAUCAACAGCCGGAGCACUUACCAAAUAAGAAUGUUGCCUAUAUUCAACUAAGACUGAUCUUCUCUAUGUGCCAUUUUCCCCUUCUCCUAUUGAUUUAAUUCUUGAAAAAAAU
Molecule: long non-coding RNA, 923 nt
Filed under: Linum usitatissimum (flax)
Lineage: Eukaryota; Viridiplantae; Streptophyta; Magnoliopsida; Malpighiales; Linaceae
Description: long non-coding RNA (LUSI_LNC004812)
Source: RNAcentral